ACUCAAAUGAAUAGACGGGGGCCCGCACAAGCGGUGGAGCAUGUGGUUUAAUUCGAUGCUACGCGAGGAACCUUACCUGGGCUUGACAUCCCACGCUAUCCGGUGAAAGCCGGAGUUCCCUUCGGGGACGUGGUGACAGGUGCUGCAUGGCUGUCGUCAGCUCGUGUUGUGAGAUGUUGGGUUAAGUCCCGCAACGAGCGCAACCCCUGUCGUUAGUUACCAUCAUUAAGUUGGGCACUCUAACGAAACCGCUUGGCCAUAAGCCAGAGGAAGGUGGGGAUGACGUCAAGUCCUCAUGGCCCUUACGCCCAGGGCUACACACGUGCUACAAUGCGAAGUACAAAGCGCAGCAAGCUUGCAAGAGUGAGCUAAUCGCAAAAAGCUUCGCUCAGUUCGGAUUGGGGUCUGCAACUCGACCCCAUGAAGCUGGAAUCGCUAGUAAUCGCGGAUCAGAACGCCGCGGUGAAUACGUUCCCGGGCCUUGUACACACCGCCCGU
RNAcentral lists this ribosomal RNA (498 nucleotides) under uncultured bacterium. RNAcentral's name for it is "partial 16S ribosomal RNA". It matches the Rfam family "Bacterial small subunit ribosomal RNA", at positions 899 to 1397 of the family's 1533-position model. The record is from RNAcentral.